RNAcentral lists this ribosomal RNA (312 nucleotides) under uncultured bacterium. Its description in RNAcentral is "bacterial SSU rRNA". It matches the Rfam family "Bacterial small subunit ribosomal RNA", at positions 29 to 369 of the family's 1533-position model. The record is from RNAcentral.
AACGAACGCUGGCGGCAGGCCUCAAACAUGCAAGUCUAGGGGUGUAGCAAUACACACCGGCGGACGGGUGCGUAACACGUGGGAAUGUACCUACUGGUUCGGAACAACUGCGGGAAACUGCAGCUAAUACCGAAUGUGUCCUUACGGAGAAAGAUUUAUCGCCAGUAGAUCAGCCCGCGUCCGAUUAGCUAGUUGGUGGGGUAAAAGCUCACCAAGGCGACGAUCGGUAGCGUUCUGAGAGGAAGAUCAGCCACACUGGGACUGAGACACGGCCCAGACUCCUACGGGAGGCAGCAGUAAGGAAUAUUGCGC